Long non-coding RNA from Bos indicus x Bos taurus (hybrid cattle), 1673 nucleotides. The record is from Ensembl. Lineage: Eukaryota; Metazoa; Chordata; Mammalia; Artiodactyla; Bovidae.
AAAUUCCGCCGCGGGGCUUUGCAGGUCUUGCUACCCAGUAGCCCUCAGAAGACAGCCAAUUCCUGCGCGUUCCGCUCUGCUCACUCUCCUUCCCAGCUUCUCUCUCUCUCUCUUUUUUUUUUUUUUUUUUCCCCACGCUCGCUCGCCUUGAACCGGGACCCAGGCAGGCAGAAGCAAGGCAUCGGUCCCCUUGCUCCUCUCCUCCACCAAACCACCGCAGCCGAGCGCGUGAAGCUUCCCUUUGUUCAACGAGGCUCCGCUCUCCUCCCCAGCAGAUCCACCUGGACGCUCUCCCUCGAGCGGCGCGGGGAGCCCAGGGGAGAUGCCGGACCACCCACUGGCGGGGAAGCAGCGAGCCGCCCUCCCGCGCCCCCGCGCUACCGAGCGCCCCUUGCCUCCGCGCUCCGGCGUUUGCCCGCGCCGGCCGCGGCUCCGCCGCGCCGCCGCCACCCGCCCGGCCGCCCCGCAGCCCAGCCGCCCCGCCGCCCCGCGCCGCGCCGCUCCGGCCCCGGCCACCGCCGCGGCGCAGUAAGUUGGCAGCAGCGAGUCCCCUCCGUUCUCGCCUCCCCCGCACCUUUUGAACUUGUUGCUGCUGCUCGGCUCGCCUGCUCCUGGCUUUUGGAAGGUGAAAAGGAGGAGGGAGGCACGGAGGGAUGGGGGAAGGGGAAGAAGAGCUCGCUUGAGCUUUAUUUAUGCUCCCAUCGGCGCGUCGGCUUAGGCUGUUCGCGAGCUGCUUUCUCGGGAGCCCUUUCCGGGUGCACGACGAGGAGAAAGUCUCUAUGCAACUCAGCCCCGGCGCGCACUUUACCAGGUAUGUACCGCGGGAGAAGCGCGUUCUGCGCGGAAGCAGAUGCUGCUGCCGCGGCAGCGGCGGCGCCUGCCAGCUCCCGGGCGCUGUAACUGUCACACUGUACCUGAGCUGAACUUGAAAAGAGAGUAAAGGGGAGAUUGGGCGAGCGCUUUCGGCAGAACCCGGGGGGUGCUCGUAGACGCGGGGAAGGAGGAUCUAUACUAACGGCCCCCCGCAGUCCGGCCCACCGCCCAGCACCUCGUCUCUGCAAAUAUACGGCCCGAGGAGUCGAGGCGGCCACCGGACUCCCCAGGAGACGUGGGGCAGCGGCUGGGACCGCACCUUGGAGGCUACUACAACAGGUCGCCUUUUUGAGACUCCUUUGGCGGGAAGGGCCACUUGGAAAAGGGAAGGUUUGAAAGAGCUGAAAGGGAGAGUGGAAGGGUUCCCUGAUUCUUCAACAGAAUACCACUCAGUGACUGUCCUUGUCUCUAUUCUACACAACACAUACUGACCCCACGUUAUCCAGACUGUGUCGGGGAAGAAAUCAGAGACACCUGUUUGAAAUCAACUGCAGCAUCUAAAGUCACCUGUGUACUUAUUUGUGCCAAGGCUGGCCCAGUCCAACUGCUGGAAAGGUUUGGUUAGGUUCUGUUGGGCGUGAUUAUUAGGACAUUGUAUUUCCCCCUUCCUGUUACUCCAAAAAUAUUACCUGUCUUUGAGGGAACUUGCCCUUUUGCGAACUGUGACUUCCAUCAGGAGCCCUCCCUUGAAUAAGGCUGAUACGUCUGGACCACGUGUCUCAGUAGUGUUUUCUUUGACGGGCAGAAGUGGGUGAUUGUGGCUACACUGAGGGAACCACUGUAGACUUGAUUGCCCUUCC